This 253-nucleotide ribosomal RNA is filed under the name uncultured bacterium. Its description in RNAcentral is "partial 16S ribosomal RNA". It matches the Rfam family "Bacterial small subunit ribosomal RNA", at positions 524 to 776 of the family's 1533-position model. The record is from RNAcentral.
UACGUAGGGUGCAAGCGUUGUCCGGAAUUAUUGGGCGUAAAGAGCUCGUAGGCGGUCUGUCGCGUCGGGAGUGAAAACUCAGGGCUUAACCCUGAGCCUGCUUCCGAUACGGGCAGACUAGAGGUAUGCAGGGGAGAAUGGAAUUCCUGGUGUAGCGGUGAAAUGCGCAGAUAUCAGGAGGAACACCGGUGGCGAAGGCGGUUCUCUGGGCAUUACCUGACGCUGAGGAGCGAAAGUGUGGGGAGCGAACAGG